Molecule: long non-coding RNA, 1672 nt
Organism: Frieseomelitta varia
Lineage: Eukaryota; Metazoa; Arthropoda; Insecta; Hymenoptera; Apidae
Exons: 3
Source: RefSeq, a predicted model, not a curated record
CCAAUGAUAUGCCGAUGAAUUCAAAAAGGAGACGAAUUAUUGUAUACGUUUUUGGUCACUCGUUAUGGUCCGCGAAAACCAAUUACUAACAGAAGAGGUUAAACUUGACUAACAAUUAUUCCCAUGAACACCGGGAGAAUGUAGAUGUCGUAAUGUCAAGGUCCAACGUUUCGAUUCCACGUCGCGCGGAAAUCACAGCCACCCGGAUACGUUUUAACAAAGACAAGAUAUCUGUACCAUCUGAUUACACUGAAUUACCUGGAUACACGCCUCGCUAUCAGUUACGUCAAUAGCUCGAACCUUUUUCAGAUAAGAACGCAAACGAUACGUACACAGCUUGGCUUCCAAUACGCUAAUCCCUCUUUGCAAAUCAUUCGCAUUUCUAAUCGGUCAGAUCGGUCCGAGGAACGACUUGGCAAGGGAAAAAAAGAAAAGAAGCAACAGAAAAAAACACGACGAAAAAGAGAGAACGAUACGACUUUUGGUCCCGACUCACAUGACGGCGAUAUACAUGGAUCGUACCCUGCUCUCUAGAGAGAUGUUACCUCGAGAACGAUCCAGGCGUGACUGGCGGUGAGCUCACGCUAACCUCGCGACGCAACUGGUGCAGGUUUACGCACAAACUGGGGAGGUAGACACGAGGUCCCCGACCCGCUUACGGGGAAAACUGUUACAGGAAGGCCCAGAUAUAUCGCACAGCCUUGCACGGAAAUCUCCCAAAGGGCCAAGGCGACUGAAAAUACACGCGCAAACACACCAAAGGAACAGAGAGAAUUCCCGAAGGAAACUGCGGCAAAAUCGAAUUCCUAGCGUGGUCGACCUGAUUCUGCGACUGAGUCCGAUGUGUCAGAAGCCAGGGAACGCGAAAUCUCGCGGUUAACCUGGAUUUGCCCGCGUAUCCAUGCCAAGCUGGGAUCCUGGACUAACCCAGACCCAGUCCGAGAAACAAACAACAUGAGAAAACCGGUUGAAACUCAUCCAGAUCAGAUAGAUGCAUAUAUUUAGAAAGAAUAUACUGAUUAAAUCGCUAGCUUUUACUAAUGCAAUCAUUCCUGCCACAUUUCCAGCCGAUUUAUUCCAUAACUGAACUUAACUCUCACGAAAGUGAAAAAGCUUUUGCACAAUUCUUGAUAGGCAGGAAAUCAAGAAGUUUAAUAUGGUUUAAUGCAUUUGAAUAAGAUCUUACUUCUCAGGUUCCUAUAUCUCAAAUGAUAUGAUUGAUUUUCUAUAUUUUAGAAACUAAUUUUAAGACACAUGCGAAAACUAACUCUAAGUGAUUGAACAACUUAGUGAUUGUUCCUUACCGCAAAGAAUUUCAAACAAAACCGUGUCAAUGACAUGACCAAACUAUACAUAGACCACAUCUUAUUAUAUGCGGCCUUGGCGAGAGUAUAAAAUUGAAAUGUUCCCUCUAAUGAUUUCGAAGAACAAAAAAAGAUGAAGGUGGAAAUUAUCUGAAGAUAGAAUUGAGACAGCAACGCGAGUUUGUCAGUGAAUCGAACGAAUUCACGGUAGAAUAAUGCCGUGGCUGGGAUAAUAAUACUAUAUCCAGGCCUCGCGUAUGCGAAAGGAAUUAGGUCAAUGCGAAAGGAACAUCCAGGAUGAAUCUCUCACAACCGUGAGAGAAACGCGUACCAUUUCACUAGAAAACUGUAUCUGCGUUCGAAAACAA